GCCGUCUGGGCGCGUUGAUGAGGCAGGCUCCGAGACUAGACAGGCUCUACAGGACAUCGAGGACAGACUGUUGGACCUGUCUGAAAAAAUAGCCCUGUGCAAAAAGAUCGAGAAUGACUUGAAGGACUUGCGUCAUGCCCUAAAAAGGAAAUCCCCCCAGGAUGUGUCCGCACCACUCCAGAAAUGAAGAGAAGAGGAAGACCCCUCCCACCUGCUGAUUGCUAUCUAACUAAAUGAAUGAAUUCUAUUAAAGUAACACAAAAUGCUUCACCAAGCAAACAUUUCAGUGACAAGGAUAAGGUUUUAUUAGUAUUAUAUUGCUCUCAAUUCAGAAAGUUACUCAUAUUUAUAUGAAACGCAUAAGCAAACAGUUUCACAUUAUACAUUCUUUAAAAAAUACAAAUUCUUAACAUUUCCUCACUCUUUGGGUGUCAAGACAUUCCUUUGGAAGCAUGUCGUUUUCCUCUUUCUCCCUGCCCCAGCUCUUCCUGGAAAAUAUAGCCUGUUUGGUGGAAAAUGUUGAUGGCAGAAAUUCCAAAGAAUCUACACUUGUGAACAAUCUGCUUCCAAACAAAUGUCGCCACAAUUGAUUUGCUGACACUACAGACUGAUGUAAAUAUUAGCCACG
This is a long non-coding RNA of Astatotilapia calliptera (eastern happy), 628 nucleotides long. Lineage: Eukaryota; Metazoa; Chordata; Actinopteri; Cichliformes; Cichlidae. The record is from Ensembl.